UGGGGAAUUUUGGACAAUGGGCGAAAGCCUGAUCCAGCAAUGCCGCGUGUGUGAAGAAGGCCUUCGGGUUGUAAAGCACUUUUGUCCGGAAAGAAAUCCUUGGCUCUAAUACAGUCGGGGGAUGACGGUACCGGAAGAAUAAGCACCGGCUAACUACGUGCCAGCAGCCGCGGUAAUACGUAGGGUGCAAGCGUUAAUCGGAAUUACUGGGCGUAAAGCGUGCGCAGGCGGUUUGCUAAGACCGAUGUGAAAUCCCCGGGCUCAACCUGGGAACUGCAUUGGUGACUGGCAGGCUAGAGUAUGGCAGAGGGGGGUAGAAUUCCACGUGUAGCAGUGAAAUGCGUAGAGAUGUGGAGGAAUACCGAUGGCGAAGGCAGCCCCCUGGGCAAUACUGACGCUCAUGCACGAAAGCGUGGGGAGCAAACAGGAUUAGAUACCCUGGUAGUCCACGCCCUAAANGAUGUCAACUAGUUGUUGGGGAUUCAUUUCCUUAGUAACGUAGCUAACGCGUGAAGUUGACCGCCUGGGGAGUACGGUCGCAAGAUUAAAACUUAAAUGAAUUGACGGGGU
This 570-nucleotide ribosomal RNA is filed under the name uncultured bacterium. RNAcentral describes it as "partial 16S ribosomal RNA". It matches the Rfam family "Bacterial small subunit ribosomal RNA", at positions 355 to 919 of the family's 1533-position model. The record is from RNAcentral.